Molecule: ribosomal RNA, 441 nt
Filed under: uncultured bacterium
Lineage: Bacteria
Description: partial 16S ribosomal RNA
Rfam family: Bacterial small subunit ribosomal RNA
Source: RNAcentral
CCUACGGUGAGCAGCAGUGGGGGAUAUUGCACAAUGGGGGGAACCCUGAUGCAGCGACGCCGCGUGGGUGAAGGAGUAUUUCGGUAUGUAAAGCUCUAUCGGCAGGGAAGAAAUUGGACGGUACCUGACUAAGCAGCCCCGGCUAACUACGUGCCAGCAGCCGCGGUAAUACGUAGGGGGCAAGCGUUAUCCGGAUUCACUGGGUGUAAAGGGAUCGUAGACGGCCAUGCAAGCCAGGGGUGAAAGCCCGGGGCCCAACCCCGGGACUGCCCUUGGAACUGCAUGGCUGGAGUGCGGGAGGGGCAGGCGGAAUGCCGGGUGUAGCGGUGAAAUGCGUAGAGAUCAGGAGGAACACCGGCGGCGAAGGCGGCCUGCUGGACCGCGACUGACGUUGAGGCUCGAAAGCGUGGGGAGCGAACAGGAUUAGAUACCCGUGUAGUC